GAGGAGCUCCGUGAACACCAGGCCUUGCUGGAUGAGCCCUACCUAGAUCGGCUCCCUGGGCAGAAGGAGCCCUCCUUAGCUGGUGUGCAGGUGAAGCAGGAGCCCAUCGAGAGUGAGGAGGAAGAAGUAGAGGCCACUCGAGAGGCGGAACCCAGCCAGCGCCCAGCCACUGAACAGGAGCUUCUCUUUAGACAGGUGUGGAAUGAGGAGAGCAGGCAGCUUGACCUUCAGCCUCUCCUGGCCUCUGAAUCACAGACAGUCGCUUUUUGACCCUAGCCAUCUAUCUUACUGCCCUCAUGGGAGGAAGGGUGUAUUUGUUGUACACUCUCAGGUACAUGCACAUCGACAUCUGCCCUCUGAAGGAGUGCAUACACCGUCUCCAUCAUGUGGCCUGCACUUUUUCCUCUGGUAUGGGAGGCUGUAGAUUGUAACCCCAAAACAAGUGUUGGUGAUCAACCACUAGAACCAGAGCAAAGUAGGGGAGUUGAGGUAUAUUCAAAAAGGAGCUGACUUAGGGGUUGGGGACUUAGCUUAGUGGUAGACCGCUUGCCUAGCAAGUGCAAGGCCCUGGGUUCGGUCCCCACCUCCAAAA
Molecule: long non-coding RNA, 592 nt
Filed under: Rattus norvegicus (Norway rat)
Lineage: Eukaryota; Metazoa; Chordata; Mammalia; Rodentia; Muridae
Description: long non-coding RNA NONRATT030293
Source: RNAcentral